Non-coding RNA from Drosophila virilis, 5813 nucleotides. The record is from RefSeq and is a predicted model, not a curated record. NCBI's taxonomy places the organism in Eukaryota, Metazoa, Arthropoda, Insecta, Diptera, Drosophilidae.
CUUGAGCUCAGUUGAAUUUCAACUACCAACCUUUGGACUUCGUUGGGUUAUAAACAGAGAAAAACGUCACCUGUUCUAUUUAUUGUGGUCGUUAUCAAAACCGUGAAGGAAGGUUUUGGAGUUCUUUGCCAGCAAACGGCAAAACUCUUGGAUCCCUGCGAGAGCCUCUGGCUUAUCAAGGUCAAUAACUGCGAUCGCUUUGCUGAAAGCGUAAUUUGCUUGAUUUAAGUAUCGGCUUUGAGGCCAAAUACCAAAUAUCUUUGUGCGCAUCGUUUGUUCGCACAAAGCGAGCCGACUGUAAGUAGAACCACGUUAUAAUGUCAGCCAAGAAGAAGCAGAAUGGGAUAAAUAAUUACAAUAUUCGCCUAAUGACGGCAAAAUGGAAGUCAAAGCUAAUGAGUAAAAGUAAAAUGGGUCUCAGAGCCCCAAAUAUCUAAUCAAACGUAACCAUCAAGAUAAAACCUAUUCAAAUGUAACCAAUAGUAGGGCAAAUAUGUAGCCAAAAAAAAAAAUGUAUGUAAACGUAUUAGGUUAAUAGCUGCUUAGGCAGUCUAAUAAACAGCAAUGCUUAGGUAGGCGACCAAUGGUAAUAGAUCUAAGAUAAACCAUCGAUAAACUAACACAUGUAAUGUGCCGAAUCCUAACUCCGAUCUCCGAUUACAAUGAUUAUGAAACCGUAUCGUCGAUUUAGCUUUUUACACAACUGUUCGCCCAGCGAGAGUUCCACAUUGGCAUCGUCCGCUCUAUCCGGGGCUUUUGGUCUGUUCGCCCAUCCCAGCCAGCUAACAAAAUUAUCCGUGGCCCAUUCAAAAGUGGUGUCCGACAUUUUAAGACGUGUGCGCGCCGGGUGAUAUGCAACUAUUUUUGGCCAGGGUCCGGACCCUUGCCGUAACGCGAUCUACGCGCCGUGCGUCAUGCGGCUGUCGCCCCUCGCGUCGGUUGGGCGGGUGGUGGGUAACUUUGAUGUUACACGUUGGGACUGCGUCCGCAAAAAUGCCACGUGCAUAUUUAUCUACGGUUUACACUUAAGCGCAUGUCGCAUGCCAGAUAUAAGUGCAAGUUUAUUAAAUUGCUUUGCAAAUAUUAAGUGCAUGUUGCUAUUUCUUUUUUUAAAAAUUAUUUUCUUAUGAAUUUUCUAUGAAUUUUGUCGUGGAAUGUGUAUAUAUUCAAAGAGUUAAUCUAGCACCUUAUACAUGUAUAUUAUAUAUAAUCCACAGCUCUUUUGCAAUCGAAAUGUUUUAGCUAAAGUGUGCUGUUAUAUCCCAAGUCUGAGUCUGGUGCUUUCAGGCAUAUAGAAUAGGCUUGCUGCCCCUUACUUAAACCUAAAAACACUUAUUAUUUUCUAAUCAGCAAACAUAUGCCUUAACAAUAAUGAACAUUUAAUAUGAUUCAUUAAUUGAUUUGAUUUUGUUUUGGGUUCAAAACAAAGUAUUCGAAAGGAUGAAACUACAGGUACAAGUUUCUCUUUAAGCCUAAUUUAGUCGGAUAUACUUCACAGAAUAUACUUUUUGUAAGCUUACUUCAAAUUAGAAAGUAGAAUAUUUAUAGGAAAUUCGCUCGAACCAGGCCAGGCUAUAUUAGCCUGGGACUAAAGCCUGGCUUUUCUUUGGAAAACAUAUUUGGCAUACGACUGGCUUUUCAAAUACAAGUUCGCUUGGGAUCGGGUAUUACCGCAUUUAGCUGGUGAUAUAUGUAACAUAUUAUUGCUCACAAUUCUUUAGCGAGUAAUCCUUAUAUUUUGCAAUUUUUGCAUAUUUUGGUAUAUUUAGUUUGCUUGAUUUAAGACUUUCUCAAGUGUCAGCUUUAUUUGGGCAGUUUUUUAUACGUCGUAAUUUAUAUUCACCCAUUUGAUAGCCGCAGCUUUGUUUUGCAAACCCUUAACGCAAACCUUGUUAGCGCUUCUUGCUGUCAACAGCGUCCACCAAGAAAUGCAUAUUUAGUCAAGUGUUAAUAAUGUGGUUGCCUUCCCUUGGGCAAUCUAACCCAAGCAGCCAGGCGAACCCAACCCAACCGCCCACACGCAACUGUUUGGCAAAGGUGCAAACGUGCGUUAAAGCAAAAGAAAGCACAAGAAACACACACACACACACACACACACACACACACACACAAGGAAAACAAACAAAACAAAACACAGAGCGAGAGACAAACAAAUGGCAGGCAGGACGAUUGACACGAAGGAAUUUUAGCACGGCAGGGAGGGGUUGGGGAGGCGGGGGAGUAGGAUGAAAAGUGCAGAAAAAACUUGCCUGCGUCCGUUUUGCCAGGAUUGGGUAUUAUAAUUCGUGGACUUCUUCUGGCGCCUGUGGGAACGAGACAAAUAAAUAUAAGAAAAUUAAAAAAUAAAAAAAAUGAAGUAUAAAAAAAAAAAAAAAACAGGCAAAAUGCAUAACUAAACAGAGCAGAUCUUACAAAUAGAGCUUCCAGUUCGAGUUGGGGUCUGUCGGGUUUUAUUUUGUUAUUCAAAAUGUUGUCUGAGAUUCGCGACGUUUAUUUAUUUCCGCAUUGCAGCGGCCUUUUCGCAUUUUUCCAUUCAUUUCAAGAAUCAUUUGACUCUGACGCCGUCUUGGCUUCCAUUGUUAUAACAAGGAUUGGCAUGGGGCAACCUUCCUUUUUUUUUUUUUUUUUUUGUUUAUCUUAGGCCUGCAUGAAGUUGAAAAUGAAGUUUUCUUGCCAUGGAUUUUUAAUUUGCUGGCGCAUAAUUAGAAAUGCAACUAUUCCUGCUGAGUCUGUGGGGCUAAUUUGCGGACAAUAAACAAGUCGACGGCAGUCAAUGCGACAGUAUCUGGCAGAUACUUUUCCCGGCGCGUCACGUAGUUUCAUCGGCAAUUGGCCAAAAAGUUAUUGCCUAGGUGAAUUGACAAGCAGCACACUGAGCGCACUCACACGGAAAUUUCAAUGACAAUGCCCGGGGUCCAGCCACAGCCGGAGUCCGAGCCAACCAAGCGUGAGCCAAAGGUAUCUUAUGGAUAGCCGCAGGCCCUCUGUGACACCACCCACUUAAAAUUUAUGUGUUAAUUUUAAGAUGCCCGCGACCCACAGAGUUUUUACUUUGAAUUUUUUUCUUUUUUUUUUUUUUUGUUAUUGCCUCGGACAGGGCAGUAUUUUUCACAACAGCAUUUUUUUAGGGGUUGCUGAAGGAUCUGGUCCAGGUGCUGCCGGGGUCAGCAUUUGGUGGUAAUAAAUGAGCUAAUAAUAAGUGAAAUGUGCUUUUGAGUGACCCUAAACAAUGGCUGUGGGCUGGAGGGGGCGGGAAGCGGUUGGCCCUCUAGAAAUUGCUGUGAAAUUGAGUUUGAAAAAAGUUCUCAGCGGGCAGCUGAAAAAUGCGCAAAAGUGUCGCAAAUUCCGUUGCUGACAUGAAAAGAUUUGUUUAUAAUUAAUUUCUCUCGGGAUUUUUUUUAUAUUUUUUUACCGGACCGAAACAUGUGACGCGGCACGAAAUUAAUUACGUUAAUACCUAUGGUCACAUAUUUUUUUUUUUUCGUUGAAAACAACGCGAAGCUCAUGUAAAAAUGUGGAAAGUAUUUUUCGGGCUCUCGAUUGUCCUUACUAAAGGGACCCAAAGGGGACCUGAUCUGGUGUCUGGCUUCUUGAUAAUUCUGAAAACUGAAUUGUUGUAGAAACGAAAUGUAAAUAUAUUUGGGAGUUAGAAAAUUGGGUAUAUUGAAAUCAAUUGAAGUUUUUAUGAAUGGCAAACAUCAUGACAAUGUUGUGUGGUCCUAGAGCCUCGUUAGACUUUUAUGACUGGGGGCAAAUGGCAGCAGCAACAACAGGAAAAGCCGCAAACAAGCUCAAUGCUGAAGUGUUGCGAGGCAAAAAAAAAAAAAAGCUAAAAAAAGCCAAAAACUGUAGCCGCAUGUUGUAAAUUCCAAUCAAUUUCGGUAGCUGGCGAAAGGUGAGGUGAGGUGAGAUGACGACGUCCACUCAUUUGUCGGAAAAUUGAGUAGACAUGCAGAUCCGGACAACGGAAAUGGUCAAGAUGCAAAAGCAGCUGGCUUGUGUCCAGUCAGGCCCUCAAUUAGAGUCCUUUGGCCCAUUUUAUUUUUUUGUUUUGACUAGACUGAAUCGCUUUUUGUGGCUUUGUCUUGGCGGCAGUGCUUGCAGCCUGUUUGGUUAACAAGAUGAAGCUGACGGAGCUGCAGGCUAUGGCUAAGGACAACGUCAUUGAGACAAGCGCCUGGCAAACAAACAAACAAAACAACCGAAACAACAACAGCAACAGAAACAACAACAUCAACAAAAGUUGUCUAUGAGUCGCUUAUGUGUUGUUUUUUUUUUUUUUUCAUUUGGCAACAUUUGCGGCCUAAUGGAAUUUUUGGCGCUGCCUAACUGGCAAAAAAUUGCUCAAGCAGCUGGAGAAAGUCCUUACUACAUGUGUGGCACAUAAGCUGCUGCUGCUGCUGCUGCUGCUGUUGUUGCUUCGAAUUGAAAAUCGAAGUUAAUAUGCGCUGCAGACUGUGAAACAAAUCAUUUUCAAGUUGUUAUACGAAAUCGACACGUUUUUGCCAUUUUAUAUUUAUUAUGAGCAUUUUCGACUUUUUCAGCUGCUGCAGAUGUGGCAGGACAUAAGCAGAGAGGUGGGGGGGACCAGGCAUAAAAGCUAAUAAUUUAAGGAUAUUUCAUGUGUGUAUAGGCAUGGGCAGGAUAUGAAAUUGCCACGCAUUAGAAGGGGGUCAACUAUAUAGGCAUUAGUCUAGUUGGCAUUAACUUUAUAAUUUCUCAUGCAUGUUCUGAUAAGACUUCCCCUUCGAUUCUUAUUCAGUUCUAAUGUAGCUGCUCGUACUAAAAUACUGUUAUGCAGCUUAUAAGCUAAAGAUACCCAAGAUUCCCUUGUUAACAGUUACUGCAGCAGCCAGGCGGGAGAUGGGCUCGCCAAAGCUCAACAAGGUACUCGAGUAUGUUAAACAGGACACGCAAACAAAAUUCGUUAAGGCUAGCUAUUUUAGCAGGACGCGCACAAAAUAUCAUGUACAAUACAUUAUGCUUAUGCCAGCCACUUGGCUGCAAGGCUGUGCCACGCCAGCUCCGCCAGUCCGGGCUGUGAUCCUGGGCGAUGGCAGCACAUAAAAUUAGCAGGCACGUGAGAGCAACGCGACGCUGUGCUUGAUGGCCUGCCUCAUUAUCAUAACGUUUUGUGCGAACGUUGGCAGUUUUUUAAAUUUCCUAUUGGACGGGCGCGAAAUGUACAUAUGUAUUAGUGUGUGUGUGUGUAUGCCUCUGUUGUGUUUGUGUGUAAUGUGAUUUAUAUAUGAGAUUGUAGCUCACCAGCUAUUGGCAUUUGGUGGGCCAUUCGGAUUGUGGUGCCUUUGUUGUUGCUGGCCACCUGUGUGGCAUCUCUUGCGCUCCUGCAAGGCGGCAGCAGCAGUUGCAGACGCAUCGGUGCCCGAAGCUGUAGCCGACAUCGCUUCGGAGCCGGCAGUUGUUGUUGUCCCUGUUGUUGUUGUUGCUGCUGCAGCAGAAUCAGCGGCAGCAGCAGCAGCUGUUGUGGCUGGUCCCCGACGUUCAUGCAUUACAAAAACUUAAUAAUAUAUGUACACUUUGUAUGCAUAAAUAUGAACUUAAUUCAUUAUUAAGGCAGCGCCUAUCACGUUUGCUGGCCGCAGUUGAUAAAUUCUAGUUGCCAAUGGCAGGACAUUUUUGUACUCUUUGUUGUUGCUUGAAACCGCAAGAGAGCGUUUUAGCUGUGUAGCUGAAGUUGCAGCAUUCUCGGGCACUUCUCACUUUUGCAAUUGUAAAUGCUUGUUUUUUUUUUUUAAUAUUACAAGCAAAACACACGUAAACACAUAAACUUAAUCAAAUUAUGCACAAUAGAA